UACGAAGGGGGCUAGCGUUGCUCGGAAUGACUGGGCGUAAAGGGUGCGUAGGCGGGUCUUUAAGUCAGGGGUGAAAUCCUGGAGCUCAACUCCAGAACUGCCUUUGAUACUGAGGAUCUUGAGUUCGGGAGAGGUGAGUGGAACUGCGAGUGUAGAGGUGAAAUUCGUAGAUAUUCGCAAGAACACCAGUGGCGAAGGCGGCUCACUGGCCCGAUACUGACGCUGAGGCACGAAAGCGUGGGGAGCAAACAGG
Molecule: ribosomal RNA, 253 nt
Filed under: uncultured bacterium
Lineage: Bacteria
Description: partial 16S ribosomal RNA
Rfam family: Bacterial small subunit ribosomal RNA
Source: RNAcentral